GUUGCAGAAAAAUGGUUAAAAUAAGCAAAAAUUGGUUCAAAUUAUUAAAAAAAAAGAAAAUCAGUCAAAAUGUUUCAAAAAUAUUGGCAAUUAAAAAUGAAAAUAGGGAAAAUAUCCAACAUUUAUUUAACAUAGUUGGGAAUGAGAAACAAAAACACUAUUUCACAAUAAGACGUCAUCAAGAAUCAUGUUUUCAAGCAAUUGUUUGAUCAUUGCCUUGAAAAUUAAAUAAAUAAAUGUAUUUUGUGGGAAAAAGACAUAUUUUCAACCAAGCUGACGAUCGUCGUGGAAACUGUAACCUGUGUGUGUGUGUGUGUGUGUCCUCAGGUGAUGGAGAUAGACUUCAGUGGUUCUUUGUCCUCAGAGGGCAGGACUGGUUAGUGGGAGUGUAUAAAAAAUAAAAAGCCCUAUAAAAGCCAUGCAGGGCUUUAAUCUCCCAGUCCUCCCAGUGCAGCUGUUUAUCCACUCCAUCAUCAUGCUUGUUCGAGCUGUGCUGCAGACGUCCCUCCUCCUCUGGUUGGCUCAGCAGACUCUGCAAGGCGCUGUUGCAGGAGUCCAACCUCAGAGUGUGUCAUGGGGACAAGGACUGCCAGCUAGAGGUCUGGGUGUUGGAGUGAAACCUGGAGACGUCAGCGCUCUCGGAGCCGUGGCAAAUCGAUUUGAAAGCAAAGCAAUGAAAGCUGGACUGGGACGUUACGGCGGCGCUCAGCUUGGACUUGGAGGAUACAGGACUCUUGGAUUAGGAGGGAGAGCUGGUAUGAGACAUGGCGGCUACGGGGUUCAAGGAGUCUACGGUGCUGGUCUUGGUACAGGAAUGGGUCUAGGGACUGGACUCACGAACGGGCUUGGUUUGGGUUUGGGUCAGGGUGGAAAACGAGUCUAUGGGACUGGCCUGGGAACUGUACCUGGAUAUGGAGCUUUGGGAGCGAUUGGCUAUCCCGGGCUUCGUCCUGGACACUCACAGUAUCCCAGUGGACAAGGGUCCAAGCAGCCAAAAACGGGUUUGGGUCCAGCUGAGACGGACAACCUGAGCCAAACUGUUCCAGAUCUUAGGAGAGAAAGGAUCAGAGCUGGAGUUCCCACAAUUCGAAAACCAAACAAAGGGCUUGGACCUGAAAUUCAAGGUCUACUCAGGCCAAAUGUUCCUGAAUCGAAUUACCAGAGAGAGCGCAAAAGUAUUAAUUUUUUAAAUCGUGGUGAAUCCACGACUCCUCUUAACGUACACACCACACACCGUAGAGAAAGCCAUGAAUCUACAGCCCUUAAGAUUAAAGGUUUUACACCAGCAGCUGAAAGUGCAGGAAGACAACCUUCGGUUAAUCAAGAACCCAUCAGACGUACAACCUCGGCUUCUUCUCAGACACCGAUCAUCAGAAACAACGAUCGGUUCCCCCUUAUUAAUCUGCGACCUCCAAACUGUGGACCGUCCGUUCAUGGAUCUGAUAGAUCCGAACUUCUUCGGCAAAAACUUGUUGGUUCACAAAGUUCCGUUCCUCAGCUGAACGUUGGCGUAGUCAGUCAACAAAAUGCUCACAGAGAUCAGCAACUACUUCCACAAGAUGUGAGGAGCAAUAUGUUCUCUACUCAGAAGUCCAGAGGGUUUUCAUCCACAGUUAUAGACAGGCAUGGCAGAGAGGGACCUUUAAGUAAGGACGCAGAAGGACCUGGGACUCGUAGGACUUUUACUUUGGAGCAGCAUCCACAUGAGUCGAUCAGUCUUCCAAGAAGUGGAAAUCCAGAACCUCUGAUUCCAGGAAUCACCUCCAUCGCCGGCCUGGAAGUCCAGCCCUCGACCACAGAAGGUUGGGAUGUGAAAGAAUUUUCCCAAAGUGUGCAUGACGUCAAAAAGUUAAAAACUUCCCCAGGGCAGGAUGGAACGAACGCCAAGGGAACAAGUUAUGGUGGCGGAGUAGGAAACUACCUGGGAACUGGCCUGGGUGCUGGAGGCUAUGGAGCAGCUUUGGGACAAGGCGGCUAUCUGGGAGGAGCUGCUGGAAAACUGGCAGCAGGAUACGGAGAUGGAAUGACUGGAUAUCUCGGACCCAUGGCAGGUUACGGGAAUGGUUACGGGGAUGCUUAUGGAGCUGGCCUCGGUACAGGAGGAUUAGUUGGUCCCCUGCAGGGAGCGUAUGGAGGAGCUGCUCAGGUGCCUUUUGCCAACACUCCAGUCCUUCCUGUGGGACUAGAAGGUGAUGGUGGUUAUCCGUACAACACUCAGCAGCUCAGUUUGACCGCUGAAGCUGCCAAAUCUGCCAGUAAAUAUGAAGCUGGUCCAGGAUUCAGAGCUCAACAAGCUGCAGGUUUGUUGGGACCGAAUCAAGACGUCUUGGGGGAGCAGACCGGAAAAUAUGGCGGUGUGAACGCAGCCCUUGGUAACGGUUACAAAGCCUAAUACAAACAACCUGGAGGUCCUCAGCUGGAUGGUCGAGCUCUGUACUACGUUGAGUGUAAUUCGUUUGUAAGGCUUUCCCUCUGUAUGUUUUUUUUUCUAUUUUGUUUUACAGUAUUGUUUGUUCCUCACUUUGUUUACUUCUGUCUCGUUUGUCUGAAACCUCGUGUAACCUCCUCCCAUAUCAUUUCUACAUGUCUUGUCGAGUUAUAAACACAUGUUACAUGCAGAAGUAGACAGAUUUUGUGUCAAUAUUCAAAAAAUUGGUUGUACUGUUGUGAUGACUCAGCAGUUUUAAAGACAAUAAAUGUCAUUGCCAAAUGUUGUAC
Molecule: long non-coding RNA, 2718 nt
Organism: Gouania willdenowi (blunt-snouted clingfish)
Lineage: Eukaryota; Metazoa; Chordata; Actinopteri; Blenniiformes; Gobiesocidae
Product: fibroin heavy chain-like
Source: Ensembl